This 433-nucleotide ribosomal RNA is filed under the name uncultured bacterium. RNAcentral describes it as "partial 16S ribosomal RNA". It matches the Rfam family "Bacterial small subunit ribosomal RNA", at positions 29 to 507 of the family's 1533-position model. The record is from RNAcentral.
AACGAACGCUGGCGGCAUGCCUAACACAUGCAAGUCGAACGAGACCUUCGGGUCUAUUGUCGCCCGGGUUCGUAACGCGUGGGAACCUUCCCUUAGGUUCGGCCUACCUCCCCGACAGGGGUGCUUAUACCGGAUCAUGUCUUCGGCCCAAAGAUUUAUCGCCUUUGGUUGGGCCCGCGUUGGAUUAGCUUUUUGGUAGGGUAAAAGCAUACCAAGGCGACGAUCCAUAGCUGGUCUGAGAGGAUGAUCAGCCACACUGGGACUGAGACACGGCCAAGAAUCCUACGGGAAGCAGCAGUGGGGAAUAGUGGAAAAGGGGCGAAAGCCUGAUCCAGCAAUGCCGCGUGAGUGAUGAAGGCCUUAGGGUUGUAAAGCUCUUUUACCCGGGAUGAUAAUGACAGUACCGGGAGAAUAAGCUCCGGCUAACUCCGUG